ACGCAGGGUGGAGAAGUGGUCAUCUCGCCGGGCCCAUAACCCGGAGAACGCUGGUUCGAAUCCAGCCCUUGGUACCA
This 77-nucleotide transfer RNA is filed under the name Pseudomonas aeruginosa. Its description in RNAcentral is "tRNA-Met". The stretch from base 4 to 71 matches the Rfam family "tRNA". Rfam says of the family: Transfer RNA (tRNA) molecules are approximately 80 nucleotides in length. Their secondary structure includes four short double-helical elements and three loops (D, anti-codon, and T loops). The record is from RNAcentral. Lineage: Bacteria; Pseudomonadati; Pseudomonadota; Gammaproteobacteria; Pseudomonadales; Pseudomonadaceae.